RNAcentral lists this ribosomal RNA (253 nucleotides) under uncultured bacterium. RNAcentral describes it as "partial 16S ribosomal RNA". It matches the Rfam family "Bacterial small subunit ribosomal RNA", at positions 524 to 776 of the family's 1533-position model. The record is from RNAcentral.
UACAGAGGUCUCAAGCGUUGUUCGGAUUCAUUGGGCGUAAAGGGCGCGUAGGCUGCGGGGCAAGUCGGGUGUGAAAUCUCAGAGCUCAACUCUGAAACUGCACUCGAUACUGCUUUGCUUGAGGACUGGAGAGGAGAUUGGAAUUCACGGUGUAGCAGUGAAAUGCGUAGAUAUCGUGAGGAAGACCAGUGGCGAAGGCGGAUCUCUGGUCCGGUACUGACGCUGAGGUGCGAAAGCGUGGGGAGCAAACAGG